CUCUUCUGAUCUGGGGGUUCAGGGUACAUUUUGUACUCAAAGGAGUGCCUAGAUUCAAGCAUGGAGGUCCAAGUGUACAAAUAAUUUUGUUAAAAGGUUGACAAUAUAAAAAAUUUAGCAUGUAAGAGGACAAGGUUUCCAGAGUGUCUACGUAGAAAAGAUGGAAGAAGAAGUGAGGCAGUGCAGAGAGCUAUAUAAAAACAAAAGUAAAGGGGAGGAGAGGUGAGAUGGAAAGGGAUUCUGUGACCAAGUUUAAGGGUUAAAAGCACACUUUGGUCUGGCCAAAAAACAUCCUCACUUUUGGUACAGGGGUUUUGAUAGUGUCACAGGGAGUAUAAGGGCCCUAGAUUUCAUCUUCCUUUGUCUCAGAGAGUAGAGAUAGUUUUU
Vicugna pacos (alpaca) is the source of this 387-nucleotide non-coding RNA. The record is from RefSeq and is a predicted model, not a curated record. NCBI's taxonomy places the organism in Eukaryota, Metazoa, Chordata, Mammalia, Artiodactyla, Camelidae.